CCGCAGCCCGCUCCAGUCGCGGCAGGCGGGAAGAGGCGGUGGCGCCGUCCCCACGGGGCGGGCCCGCUCGGGGCCUGGUGACACCAGGGCAGCGCAGGCAGGAUGCGCAUCUCCUGCAAAACUGCUUGCUCCAGUUCCUAAAUUGCUACAGCCCCUUUGCUACACUGUAAAAUGACCAGAGAGCCUGUCAAGAUCCCAGAACUGGGACAGGUGUUCCUCUCAUCUUCCUGGCACCUACACCUGUGAAAAAAAAUUCCUGCUUUGAAGGACACUGCGUUGUUAAUAGGCCAACAUGGCUUUUUGAGGAAGGCUUUGCAUUUAUUCCUGAAUGAAAUCAAACUGCAGAAUCAUCAAUAAAGUACAUGCAAAGUUGAUAAUCUGUAUGUAUAAACAUGUAAAAACAGAUUUCCUUCAAUAAAAUAUUCUCUUACAAAAUUUGCUUUAUCCUGCUUUUUGACAUGUAACAUUUAUUUCAGUCUUUAUGUAAGUAAACCAAC
This is a long non-coding RNA of Neopsephotus bourkii (Bourke's parrot), 497 nucleotides long. RefSeq lists it as uncharacterized. NCBI's taxonomy places the organism in Eukaryota, Metazoa, Chordata, Aves, Psittaciformes, Psittacidae. The transcript has 3 exons. The record is from RefSeq and is a predicted model, not a curated record.